Molecule: ribosomal RNA, 431 nt
Filed under: uncultured Rhodobacter sp.
Lineage: Bacteria; Pseudomonadati; Pseudomonadota; Alphaproteobacteria; Rhodobacterales
Description: bacterial SSU rRNA
Rfam family: Bacterial small subunit ribosomal RNA
Source: RNAcentral
CGGUGGAGCAUUGUUGGUUUAAUUCGAAGCAACGCGCAGAACCUUACCAACCUUGACAUGGGGUCGCGGGACCAGAGAUUGGUCCUUCAGUUCGGCUGGACCCCACACAGGUGCUGCAUGGCUGUCGUCAGCUCGUGUCGUGAGAUGUUCGGUUAAGUCCGGCAACGAGCGCAACCCACACUUUCAGUUGCCAUCAUUCAGUUGGGCACUCUGGAAGAACUGCCGGUGAUAAGCCGGAGGAAGGUGUGGAUGACGUCAAGUCCUCAUGGCCCUUACGGGUUGGGCUACACACGUGCUACAAUGGUGGUGACAAUGGGUUAAUCCCAAAAAGCCAUCUCAGUUCGGAUUGUCGUCUGCAACUCGGCGGCAUGAAGUCGGAAUCGCUAGUAAUCGCGUAACAGCAUGACGCGGUGAAUACGUUCCCGGGCCUU